AGCAGCCGCGGUAAUUCCAGCUCCAAUAGCGUAUAUUAAAGUUGUUGCAGUUAAAAAGCUCGUAGUUGAAUUUCGAGAUCAAUUUGUCGGUCGUGCCUCGGUACGUACUGGCAUUAUUGAUUUCUCCCUUCUGAAGAACCGCGAUGUCAUUAAUUUGGUGUCGUGGGGAAUCAGGACUGUUACUUUGAAAAAUUAGAGUGUUUAAAGCAGGCGCACGCUUGAAUACAUUAGCAUGGAAUAAUGAAAUAGGACGUUUGAUUCUAUUUUGUUGGUUUCUAGGAUCGACGUAAUGAUUAAUAGGGAUAGUUGGGGGCAUUAGUAUUCAAUUGUCAGAGGUGAAAUUCUUGGAUUUAUUGAAGACUAACUACUGCGAAAAGCAUUUGCCAAGGAUGUUUUCAUUAAUCAAAGAACGAAAAGUUAGGGGAUCGAAGACGAUCAGAUACCGUUGUAGUCUAACCAUAAACUAAUGCCGACUAGGGAUCGGAUGAUGUAAUUUU
RNAcentral lists this ribosomal RNA (497 nucleotides) under uncultured Glomus. RNAcentral describes it as "SSU rRNA". It matches the Rfam family "Eukaryotic small subunit ribosomal RNA", at positions 569 to 1069 of the family's 1831-position model. Lineage: Eukaryota; Fungi; Glomeromycota; Glomeromycetes; Glomerales; Glomeraceae. The record is from RNAcentral.